RNAcentral lists this ribosomal RNA (396 nucleotides) under uncultured bacterium. Its description in RNAcentral is "bacterial SSU rRNA". It matches the Rfam family "Bacterial small subunit ribosomal RNA", at positions 28 to 417 of the family's 1533-position model. The record is from RNAcentral.
GACGAACGCUGGCGGCGUGCCUAACACAUGCAAGUGGAGCGACGAACCAGGCUUCGGCCUGGGGCAAAGCCGCGAACGGGUGAGUAACACGUGGGUAACCUGCCCUGAUGAUCGGGACAACCCGGGGAAACUCGGGCUAAUACCGAAUGUGCCCUCCGGCCUCAAGGCCGCUGGGGAAAGGAAGCUUCGGCCUCCGCAUCGGGAUGGGCCCGCGGCCCAUUAGCUUGUUGGUGAGGUAACGGCUCACCAAGGCGACGAUGGGUAGCUGGUCUGAGAGGACGAUCAGCCACACUGGGACUGAGACACGGCCCAGACUCCUACGGGAGGCAGCAGUGGGGAAUCUUGCGCAAUGCGCGAAAGCGUGACGCAGCAACGCCGCGUGGGGGAAGAAGGCCU